UCAUGUAAAAGCUGCUAAAAGUUUAGCAUUUUUACAUUUAAGAUAGACCAGUGGAUUACUAGUAUAUUGAUUGGAUAUACUGCUGGAAAAUUAGAUAAUUACUAUAAUAGUCUACUAACCUAAUGUGUGAUUACCCCUGUGGAGGGGCCUGCAUCCUAUUAGCUUGUUGGUGGGGUAACGGCCUUCCUAGGCAACGAUGGGUGUGUGGGUGUGAGAGCAUGACCCGCGUCAUUGGGACUGACACACUGCCCAGACACCUACGGGUGGCUUCUGUCAAUAAUCUUCGGCACUGGGCGAUAGCAUGACCGAUCGACUGCCACUGUGGGAAUAAUGCCCUCAGGUUAUAAACCGCUGUCGUCUAAGAGGAAGUGCAGGGGGGUUCCUCCUCUUUGCUUGGCCCUAUUCUAAGGAGGAGGUACGGGACUAUGUUUUUGCCAGACACCCGCGGAUAAGACGACCCCGACACAAGCUUACUCUGAAAUUUCUGGGGCUUAAUGGGUGGCUUUAAGCUUGGGCCGAAAAAAUUUGGAUGUAAAAAGCCCUUCGGCUUACAUCGAGAAAAUUUGCGAUUCAAAACAACACUUGCUCCAAGGGGAAAAAUAAGGAACACCGGACAAUAAGGGUGGAACAGGAGAAAUGCGUUGAAAUUCUUGGAAAAACCCGGUGG
This 667-nucleotide ribosomal RNA is filed under the name uncultured Planctomycetota bacterium. RNAcentral's name for it is "bacterial SSU rRNA". It matches the Rfam family "Bacterial small subunit ribosomal RNA", at positions 62 to 716 of the family's 1533-position model. Lineage: Bacteria; Pseudomonadati; Planctomycetota. The record is from RNAcentral.